AGGAUGAACGCUAGCGGCAGGCUUAAUACAUGCAAGUCGUGGGGCAGCAGGUCCCGUAGCAAUACGGGAUGCUGGCGACCGGCAAACGGGUGCGGAACACGUACACAACCUUCCUUUAAGUGGGGAAUAGCCCGGGGAAACCCGGAUUAAUACCCCGUAACAUUAUGAUGUGGCAUCACAUUAUAAUUAUAGCAUUUAUGCGCUUAAUGAUGGGUGUGCGCUGAUUAGGUAGUUGGCGGGGUAACGCCCACCAAGCCUACGAUCAGUAACUGGUGUGAGAGCACGACCAGUCACACGGGCACUGAGACACGGG
RNAcentral lists this ribosomal RNA (313 nucleotides) under uncultured soil bacterium. Its description in RNAcentral is "bacterial SSU rRNA". It matches the Rfam family "Bacterial small subunit ribosomal RNA", at positions 26 to 330 of the family's 1533-position model. The record is from RNAcentral.